RNAcentral lists this ribosomal RNA (892 nucleotides) under uncultured bacterium. Its description in RNAcentral is "bacterial SSU rRNA". It matches the Rfam family "Bacterial small subunit ribosomal RNA", at positions 505 to 1397 of the family's 1533-position model. The record is from RNAcentral.
GUGCCAGCCGCCGCGGUAAUACGUAGGUGGCAAGCGUUGUCCGGAUUUAUUGGGCGUAAAGCGAGCGCAGGCGGUUUUUUAAGUCUGAUGUGAAAGCCUUCGGCUCAACCGAAGAAGUGCAUCGGAAACUGGGAAACUUGAGUGCAGAAGAGGACAGUGGAACUCCAUGUGUAGCGGUGAAAUGCGUAGAUAUAUGGAAGAACACCAGUGGCGAAGGCGGCUGUCUGGUCUGUAACUGACGCUGAGGCUCGAAAGUAUGGGUAGCAAACAGGAUUAGAUACCCUGGUAGUCCAUACCGUAAACGAUGAAUGCUAAGUGUUGGAGGGUUUCCGCCCUUCAGUGCUGCAGCUAACGCAUUAAGCAUUCCGCCUGGGGAGUACGGCCGCAAGGCUGAAACUCAAAGGAAUUGACGGGGGCCCGCACAAGCGGUGGAGCAUGUGGUUUAAUUCGAAGCUACGCGAAGAACCUUACCAGGUCUUGACAUACUAUGCAAAUCUAAGGGAUUAGACGUUCCCUUCGGGGACAUGGAUACAGGUGGUGCAUGGUUGUCGUCAGCUCGUGUCGUGAGAUGUUGGGUUAAGUCCCGCAACGAGCGCAACCCUUAUUAUCAGUUGCCAGCAUUAAGUUGGGCACUCUGGUGAGACUGCCGGUGACAAACCGGAGGAAGGUGGGGAUGACGUCAAAUCAUCAUGCCCCUUAUGACCUGGGCUACACACGUGCUACAAUGGAUGGUACAACGAGUUGCGAACUCGCGAGAGUAAGCUAAUCUCUUAAAGCCAUUCUCAGUUCGGAUUGUAGGCUGCAACUCGCCUACAUGAAGUCGGAAUCGCUAGUAAUCGCGGAUCAGCAUGCCGCGGUGAAUACGUUCCCGGGCCUUGCACACACCGCCCGU